UUAAGCUAGAAAGAGCGCAGGGUGGAUGCCUUGGCACUAAGAGCCGAUGAAAGACGUGAUAAGCUGCGAAAAGCUUCGGGGAGGAGCAAAUAUCCUUUGAUCCGGAGAUCUCUGAAUGGGGAAACCUACUUGAGUGCACCUCAAGUGACGUAUGGUGAAUACAUAGCCAUACGCCGGGAACCCGGUGAACUGAAACAUCUAAGUAGCCGGAGGAAGAGAAAGAAACAUCGAUUCCGAAAGUAGCGGCGAGCGAAAUUGGAAGAGCCCAAACCGGGAUGCGUGCAUCCCGGGGUUAUGGACCACGACAUGUGACCCGUAUGGUAAUGGAACAGUCUGGGAAGUCAGACCAGAGAGGGUGAAAGUCCCGUACAUGAAACCAGAAGGGAGCUAGUGGGAUCCAGAGUACUGCGAGACACGUGGAACCUUGCAGGAAGUCGGGGGGACCACCCCCCAAGGCUAAAUACUCCUUAGUGACCGAUAGCGCAUAGUACUGUGAAGGAAAGGUGAAAAGGACCCCGGGAGGGGAGUGAAAGAGAACCUGAAACCCUGUGUUUACAAGCUGUCGAAGCACGCAAGUGCGACGGCGUACUUUUUGUAGAACGGUCCGGCGAGUUAUGAUGAGUGGUAAGGUUAAGGACUUAAGGUCCGGAGCCGAAGCGAAAGCGAGUGUUAAAAGCACGACAGAAUCGCUUAUCAUAGACCCGAAACCGGGUGAUCUAUCCAUGUCCAGGUUGAAGCUGCCGUAAGAGGUAGUGGAGGACCGAACACACAUCCGUUGAAAAGGGUGGUGAUGAGGUGUGGAUAGGGGAGAAAUUCCAAUCGAACCCGGAGAUAGCUGGUUCUCCUCGAAAUAGCUUUAGGGCUAGCCUCGUUUUAGUCUUAUGGAGGUAGAGCACUGAAUUUCCGCGGGGGCGUCAAAGCUUACCAAAGAAUAUCAAACUCCGAAUGCCAUGUAGAUGAUGAACGGGAGUCAGACUGCACGAGAUAAGUUGGGCGGUCAAAAGGGAAAGAGCCCAGACCACCGGCUAAGGUCCCAAAGUGUGUGUUAAGUGGAAAAGGAUGUGGGAAUUCGAAGACAACUAGGAUGUUGGCUCAGAAGCAGCCAUACAUUCAAAGAGUGCGUAACAGCUCACUAGUCGAGAGUCCCUGCGCCGAAAAUGUCCGGGGCUGAAACACAACACCGAAGCCGUGGACUCCGUAAGGAGUGGUAGAGGAGCAUUCUUAAAACCGACGAAGCUGUACCGGUAAGGAGCAGUGGAGGGAUAAGAAGAGAGAAUGCCGGAAUGAGUAGCGAGAGGAAGGUGGGAAUCCUUCCGGCCGAAUAUCUAAGGUUUCCAGAGUAAAGCUGAUCUGCUCUGGGUAAGUCGGGGCCUAAGGAGAGGUCGAAAGACGUAUCCGAUGGACAACAGGUUUAGAUUCCUGUACCACAUAUAAACAGAACUGUGGGGACGCAUGUGGAAAGCAUAAGCCGGGAAUGGAAAUACCGGUACAAACGGAAGAGGUGUCAGGCUGGCAAAUCCGCCUGGCAAGCCAAAGACGUGAUGUGGAGCGAAAUAAAAGUAGCGAAGUAUGUGAGCCAUGUGCCGAGAAAAGCCGCUAUUGUUUUAUAUGUGCCCGUACCGUAAACCGACACAGGUGGAUGAGGAGAGAAUCCUAAGGCCGACGGAAGAAGCAUUGUUAAGGAAUUCGGCAAAAUGACCCCGUAACUUCGGGAGAAGGGGUGCCUGCGAGAGCAGGCCGCAGAGAAUAGGCUCAAGCAACUGUUUAGCAAAAACACAGGUCUAUGCGAAACCGAAAGGUGAGGUAUAUGGGCUGACGCCUGCCCGGUGCUGGAAGGUUAAGAGGAGAUGUCAGCGCAAGCGAAGCAUUGAAUUUAAGCCCCAGUAAACGGCGGCCGUAACUAUAACGGUCCUAAGGUAGCGAAAUUCCUUGUCGGGUAAGUUC
RNAcentral lists this ribosomal RNA (1944 nucleotides) under human gut metagenome. RNAcentral describes it as "bacterial LSU rRNA". It matches the Rfam family "Bacterial large subunit ribosomal RNA", at positions 3 to 1983 of the family's 2925-position model. The record is from RNAcentral.